RNAcentral lists this ribosomal RNA (123 nucleotides) under Anser brachyrhynchus (Pink-footed goose). The record is from RNAcentral. Lineage: Eukaryota; Metazoa; Chordata; Aves; Anseriformes; Anatidae.
GCCUAUAGCCAACCCACAGUGACCACACCUAAUCCCACCAAAUCUCUGCAGCAAGUUAAGCAGGGCUGGGCCUGGUUAGUACUUGGAGGGGUUCCCUCCUGGGAAUACUGGGUGCUGUAGGGC